Molecule: ribosomal RNA, 301 nt
Filed under: uncultured bacterium
Lineage: Bacteria
Description: partial 16S ribosomal RNA
Rfam family: Bacterial small subunit ribosomal RNA
Source: RNAcentral
CAGCCGCCACGGUAAAACGAAGGGGGCUAGCGUUGUUCGGAAUCACUGGGCGUAAAGCGCACGUAGGCGGCUAUUCAAGUCAGGGGUGAAAGCCCGGGGCUCAACCCCGGAACUGCCUUUGAAACUAGAUAGCUUGAAUCUUGGAGAGGCGAGUGGAAUUCCGAGUGUAGAGGUGAAAUUCGUAGAUAUUCGGAAGAACACCAGUGGCGAAGGCGACUCGCUGGACAAGUAUUGACGCUGAGGUGCGAAAGCGUGGGGAGCAAACAGGAUUAGAUACCCCCGUAGUCCCUGUCUCUUAUAC